GACGAACGCUGGCGGCGUGCUUAACACAUGCAAGUCGAACGAUGAAGCCGGAGCUUGCUCUGGUGAAUUAGUGGCGAACGGGUGAGUAACACGUGAGUGACCUGCCCUUGACUCUGGGAUAACUGCGGGAAACUGUAGCUAAUACCGGAUACGACCCUCGGAGGCAUCUCCUGGGGGUGGAAAGAAUUUCGGCCAAGGAUGGACUCGCGGCCUAUCAGCUAGUUGGUGAGGUAAAGGCUCGCCAAGGCGACGACGGGUAGCCGGCCUGAGAGGGUGACCGGCCACACUGGGACUGAGACACGGCCCAGACUCCUACGGGAGGCAGCAGUGGGGAAUAUUGCACAAUGGGCGCAAGCCUGAUGCAGCAACGCCGCGUGAGGGAUGACGGCCUUCGGGUUGUAAACCUCUUUUAGCAGGGAAGAAGCGAAAGUGACGGUACCUGCAGAAAAAGCACCGGCUAACUACGUGCCAGCCGCCGCCGUAA
This 484-nucleotide ribosomal RNA is filed under the name uncultured bacterium. RNAcentral describes it as "partial 16S ribosomal RNA". It matches the Rfam family "Bacterial small subunit ribosomal RNA", at positions 28 to 523 of the family's 1533-position model. The record is from RNAcentral.